This is a long non-coding RNA of Gallus gallus (chicken), 1728 nucleotides long. Lineage: Eukaryota; Metazoa; Chordata; Aves; Galliformes; Phasianidae. The record is from Ensembl.
AUACAUUGAGCCCAUGGUGCCCUGCCAAGGGUUAUAGCUUCUUCCCACCAGAAAGCUGUGGUGAGUCUCCCCGGGAGUCAUAUUUGACUAACAACUGCAGCUUGUGGCCCUCAGAAGUAGACACUGUUUUCCCUGACAUUUGUAUGUGACCACAUCGUGCAUACAAGGAUAAAGGCUGUGCUUCAAGGAAACGUAUCUCUGAGGAGAAUGAAAAAAGCCUUUGAUAACAAAUCACGUCUGUUUCUCAAUCUUUUCCUGCCAGCCAAGCUGCUGACUUCUGAUCAGAAAUCAAGUGUGCUAGAAAGACGUGGACUGCUGUCAGCUGGCACCAGUCUGCUGUGCCACGGAGGGAAGCGUGAGGUGCACAACAGCUGGGAAGGGAAGGGAAAAGUGUGUACUGACAUGCUGAUGUAUGAUAUAUAUGAAAAUAUGUGGUAAAUAGGUGCAUAAAACCCCCUAUGGUUCAUAUAAAACACUGUGCUGGGGCUGAGUUUCUGGUUGGCUUCUGCUCUAUAUGGGAACCCCAGAUUUCAGUGGCUGUUGUGGUAAAUGCUUGUGAUUCUCUAAUGCAAUAGUGAAUUCCUGGAGAGAGACGAGGUGCCCCAAACACUUUGUUCCAGGAAAAAAACUGUUCUGGGUUUUGCCUCCUGCGUAACAAAAAGGGAGCAAAUGCCAGAGCAGUCAUCCAGGUAACUCUAUUGCUUGGUGCUUGUUUUAUGCCACCUCUCUUUGGGGCAUCUUCUAAAAACUGAGGUUUAUUCCAGGUCUUGACUUCUCCAGCCUUUUCUGACACUUCCUUUGAAUGUCUUCAUCUUCUCUAAGGCAGCAAAUUUUGAUUCUCCUUUUUCUCUUCCCCUCCCUUGAGCCUCCUGGAGAGAGCACAGAAAUUGCCUCUACAUAUUGAUCAGCCAUUCCUUCCCAACUAAUUUCUGUUUUCUCUCAGGCCAUCCAGCAGUCUUGGGUGAUUUAAAUGUAAAGACUGUACAGACUAUAUGUUUCUUCCCCUACUGGAGAAAUUUUUCUUUGUACAUACGUUGGGCAUGGCAAAGCCCUCCUGGCCUUGAAGAUGAUCUGAAUGUAAGCAGAUGAUCAGGACUCUGUUAUCAUCAUGUGAUACCAGACCAGAAAUUCAGCAUCUCUGUUUGUAUAUUCAACAUCCUCAGCUGUGUACCCUGCCUUGUUCAGUGCUGAGGUCUAAUUGAGAUCUCUCUGUAGCAUCAGGUACUGAAUAUGGCCUGACCAGCACCUCUGGAAGUCUCCUUGACCUCAUAUGGAUCUCCCCAUAUAUUGUGCUGUCUGUCCAGAAUUAAUCUGGAUUCCGUCCAGUGGAGAGAAGUGGCCAAUACCUCUAAACUACAUGGAGAAGAAGGUCCCAUGGCAUGCAUCAUCUUUGUAUCCUGGUGGAAAUGGCGUGGUCAUAAUCCAUGCAUUACAGAAAAAGAGAAAGCUCUUCCCUGCAAGCUAUUAACAUAAGCCAGCUGUGCGGCAAGUCUAAUUUGAGAAGAGUAAGCUUUGAGGUGGUCAGCAAUAUCAAGGAUGCCUCAGAAGCUUCUUAACUCUGGGUCUUAAUGAAGGUUUCACUAGGACUUCAGGAUGUCAAAACUGUACAGCUCAUGAGAAAGGGCAUUUGCUUGUGAGGAAGAGGGAAGACCUGAGCUCCAGCCCUCACUCAAAAUAAAAGCUCAGUAUUUUAGUAACACGUUUUCUAACAAGGCUUUAAAGAAGGGC